CGGCCGCGGCUGAGGGACCUGCCCGCGCUGCUGCGGAGCGGGCUCACGCUGCGGAGGAAGCGGAGCGCCGCUGGGGGCCGGGCUGCACCUGACUUAACCCCAGGGCCCCCAGAUUCAGGCUGCGGGACCGGGCAUCGGCUGAAGACGAGCUGUUUGCCUCUUCUCGGAGGGGAAGCUGCAGGUGUCCAGCGUCCAACAGCCAGCCAGCCCUGUCCCAACCGCAAGCUUCAGGCCCCACGAGCGGCAUCCCUGUUUGCAGGACGCAUGCGACGUGUGUGCUUGUUUUGGAGGUGCUGUUGCAAGCUCUGGGCAUCGAGACUGGUUUUGGUGGUCUCCACCGCCGAGGGGCAGACCCAGGAGUCGGAAGCUCUUGGGUGAGCUUC
Molecule: long non-coding RNA, 383 nt
Filed under: Homo sapiens (human)
Lineage: Eukaryota; Metazoa; Chordata; Mammalia; Primates; Hominidae
Description: non-protein coding lnc-STEAP1B-4:1
Source: RNAcentral